Tribolium castaneum (red flour beetle) is the source of this 73-nucleotide transfer RNA. It matches the Rfam family "tRNA". From Rfam's summary of the family: Transfer RNA (tRNA) molecules are approximately 80 nucleotides in length. Their secondary structure includes four short double-helical elements and three loops (D, anti-codon, and T loops). Further hydrogen bonds mediate the characteristic L-shaped molecular structure. tRNAs have two regions of fundamental functional importance: the anti-codon, which is responsible for specific mRNA codon recognition, and the 3' end, to which the tRNAs corresponding amino acid is attached (by aminoacyl-tRNA synthetases). tRNAs cope with the degeneracy of the genetic code in two manners: having more than one tRNA (with a specific anti-codon) for a particular amino acid; and 'wobble' base-pairing, i.e. permitting non-standard base-pairing at the 3rd anti-codon position. The record is from Rfam. NCBI's taxonomy places the organism in Eukaryota, Metazoa, Arthropoda, Insecta, Coleoptera, Tenebrionidae.
GGUUCCGUAGUGUAGCGGUUAUCACGUCUGCUUUACACGCAGAAGGUCCUCAGUUCGAUCCUGGGCGGAACCA